This 1089-nucleotide long non-coding RNA is filed under the name Vulpes vulpes (red fox). RNAcentral's name for it is "lncRNA (ENSVVUG00000027121.1)". The record is from RNAcentral. Lineage: Eukaryota; Metazoa; Chordata; Mammalia; Carnivora; Canidae.
AUGCCUUCCUCCAUGGGAGGCGGGAGGGACUCCAGGCCGCACGUUCGGAGGUGCCCGUUCAGGACUCCAGCUCCGGCCCUCUCCACGCUGGACGGAGUGGGUGGUGCAACACCAGCUCCUUCCCUACACUGUUUCUUGCUUCACAGCGUUCAGAGCCUGGCCUGCAGGGCACGGGAGCCCCCCAGGCUCUGGGCCCAUCCCGACUCAGUGAACGAAGCCACAGCCAGCGCUACCCCAAGCUGGCUCUCGGGGCGUCUCCAGACCAGAGUGCACCUCGGAAAGUCGUGCCCGGACAAGUCACCAGGCUACGCUUCCAUGAGAGCAGUUGGUGCUGACGUGAAUGGCUGCGUCUGGGAUAACGCACCCCCCCCACCACAGUGCUCUCCCUGGGGACCGCCUGCCCGCCCCCCGCAGCCAGGGCUAACCGGGUUACCUUGCUCACUAGCCCAGAGCUGCCCGUGCACAUGGGGGGCUGGUCUCUGCAAGGUACCCACGGCGCUAGAAGGCUGCCGUCACAGGGCCCGUGGACCCACAGCUACUGCCGGCUGUGUGCGACUGCCCACGCCCCCAUUCUCUCAGGUCACCCCACACCGAGGCCGGGGAAGGUGCACCGCUUGUUGCCAUUCCACAGAGGAGCAAACAGGCCACGUCCCAGGGCUCAGGCAUCAAUGCUGGGCUAGAGUCCGGCACUCAGUCCAGCGGCCACACGCUGGGGCCCCCCUGGUGGUGCCCCCUAUUCCACCCCCCCGUGCUGGGGCCCCAUCCCCCAACUCCCUGGGGUCCAUGAACCCUGCUGAUGUGGCUCAGGCCCAGGUCUCCGUGGCUUUGUCCCCAAGGCGUGCUCCCGUGGGUCCGAAUCCAGCAGGGAAUGCCACGGGGCCCCCAUCAUGUGCCCCGGACAGGGUUGGUAUGGGGCAGGAGGAGCCCCCAGACAUGGAGGGAGACAGGAGGAGGUCAUCCCCCCCGUGGGGACCCCAGGUCGCACAUGCCAUUGUGGAACCUUUCCCCCACGGUGCUGGAGGACAGGCACCUCUGGAGAGCGCAAGCCAUGGGAAUAAAGUGCCCUGCUUAGGGGAACGUGCACAGUGA